UGAAAGGGUGCAGAUGAAAAACAUCUU
Molecule: non-coding RNA, 27 nt
Filed under: Homo sapiens (human)
Lineage: Eukaryota; Metazoa; Chordata; Mammalia; Primates; Hominidae
Source: RNAcentral